Long non-coding RNA from Mastomys coucha (southern multimammate mouse), 1130 nucleotides. RefSeq lists it as uncharacterized. NCBI's taxonomy places the organism in Eukaryota, Metazoa, Chordata, Mammalia, Rodentia, Muridae. The transcript is spliced from 4 exons. The record is from RefSeq and is a predicted model, not a curated record.
CUCAGGAAAGACAAAUGGUGCCCGAAAAUUUACUGCCUGACUUAAGAGAAGCUGCCUACUUCAAGUAGAAAGCCUGGGAGUCAAUGACAGGACUUUCUCCUCUUCUGCUCUUACAGAGAUACUUGGCAUUGGACUAAGCCAGGAUUUCACUGCACACCUGCUGUGAAGCUGAGGCUGGCCUUGAACUCAUUUUUUUCUGCUUCCAUUUCCUAUGCUGGAUUUAUAGCUGCACCACUCUGCCCAGUCAUGAUGAGGACAAUCUGCAGUUUUCAUUUCAGCAGAAGUUCCCAAUCAAGAAUCUGUCUCCCAGAAGAGUGUUUCUAAACAACGUUGCUCUAAAGAAACUUCUAAGCAACAGGGAUGACCGAAUUUUCCAGGAUUCAUCAUUCCUGUUGCUGCCACCCACGCACCUUAAAAUCCUUGUACUUUAUUUAGUUGUUGAUUUUGGUGGUGCUGAUGUUGGAGAUCAAACCAUGGUGUGCUGAGCACUGAGUACAGCUGAGCUGCGCAGGGCGGCUUCUGUGUACUUCCUAUAGAGCACACACAGCUUCCCUACCUUGUUCCACCCCUUCACUCACUCCUAUCCUUUUCCUAGCCUGGCCUUUCUUCUCCCUCUCCAGGGAAGGCAGCUGCUCUGCCAGUGGGUAGGGGAGAGACUGCCCCAGGGCAGCACUGAUCAUAGGCAAGUCUGUCUAAUUCUGGAUCUUGCAGAAGAAGCAAGCCUUUGGCCAUGCCUCUAACAAACCUUACCCGAUAAAGAUAACAUUGUGACCUACAGCUUCCUUACCUCACCUCCUGUCAGAGUCUCCCGUAGCCCAAACUGGCCUUGAGAUGUAGGUGUAUGAUUCUCACCCUCCCAGAGUGCUGGGAUUUUAAGUAGGGGGAGCCAACUUAAAAAUGGCUUAGAGCUGGUGAGGUGCCUUGUUGGGUAAAGGUGCUGUCUGAGGAUACAGUCUGACGACCUCAGUUUGGUCCCUAGAGCCAACUUAAAGGUAGGAGGGGACUGACUGCACUAAGCUGUCCUCUGACCAUGUGCUCCCAACAGGUACACCUCCCACUCUCACUCUCACAGAUAAUAAAAUGAUUACUUUGCUUGAUUAAAAACCUGCUUAGAAAAAAAAAUACAAAGA